CGGGCGACGGUUGUCCCGGUUUAAGCAUGUAGGCUGAUUGUCCAGGCAAAUCCGGAUAAUCAAGGCUGAGGUGUGAUGACGAGGCACUACGGUGCUGAAGUAACAAAUGCCCUGCUUCCAGGAAAAGCCUCUAAGCAUCAGGUAACAUUAAAUCGUACCCCAAACCGACACAGGUGGUCAGGUAGAGAAUACCAAGGCGCUUGAGAGAACUCGGGUGAAGGAACUAGGCAAAAUGGUGCCGUAACUUCGGGAGAAGGCACGCUGGUGUGUAGGUGAAGUCCCUGCGGAUGGAGCUGAGACCAGUCGAAGAUACCAGCUGGCUGCAACUGUUUAUUAAAAACACAGCACUGUGCAAACACGAAAGUGGACGUAUACGGUGUGACGCCUGCCCGGUGCCGGAAGGUUAAUUGAUGGGGUUAUCCGUAAGGAGAAGCUCUUGAUCGAAGCCCCGGUAAACGGCGGCCGUAACUAUAACGGUCCUAAGGUAGCGAAAUUCCUUGUCGGGUAAGUUCCGACCUGCACGAAUGGCGUAAUGAUGGCCAGGCUGUCUCCACCCGAGACUCAGUGAAAUUGAACUCGCUGUGAAGAUGCAGUGUACCCGCGGCAAGACGGAAAGACCCCGUGAACCUUUACUAUAGCUUGACACUGAACAUUGAGCCUUGAUGUGUAGGAUAGGUGGGAGGCUUUGAAGCGUGGACGCCAGUCUGCGUGGAGCCAACCUUGAAAUACCACCCUUUAAUGUUUGAUGUUCUAACGUUGGCCCCUGACCGGGGUUGCGGACAGUGUCUGGUGGGUAGUUUGACUGGGGCGGUCUCCUCCCAAAGCGUAACGGAGGAGCACGAAGGUUAGCUAAUCCUGGUCGGACAUCAGGAGGUUAGUGCAAUGGCAUAAGCUAGCUUGACUGCGAGCGUGACGGCGCGAGCAGGUGCGAAAGCAGGUCAUAGUGAUCCGGUGGUUCUGAAUGGAAGGGCCAUCGCUCAACGGAUAAAAGGUACUCCGGGGAUAACAGGCUGAUACCGCCCAAGAGUUCAUAUCGACGGCGGUGUUUGGCACCUCGAUGUCGGCUCAUCACAUCCUGGGGCUGAAGUAGGUCCCAAGGGUAUGGCUGUUCGCCAUUUAAAGUGGUACGCGAGCUGGGUUUAGAACGUCGUGAGACAGUUCGGUCCCUAUCUGCCGUGGGCGCUGGAGAAUUGAGGGGGGCUGCUCCUAGUACGAGAGGACCGGAGUGGACGCAUCACUGGUGUUCGGGUUGUCAUGCCAAUGGCACUGCCCGGUAGCUAAAUGCGGAAGAGAUAAGUGCUGAAAGCAUCUAAGCACGAAACUUGCCCCGAGAUGAGUUCUCCCUGAGACUUUAAGUCUCCUGAAGGAACGUUAAAGACGAUGACGUUGAUAGGCCGGGUGUGUAAGCGCAGCGAUGCGUUGAGCUAACCGGUACUAAUGAACCGUGAGGCUUAACCUU
Molecule: ribosomal RNA, 1459 nt
Filed under: Klebsiella pneumoniae CHS 19
Lineage: Bacteria; Pseudomonadati; Pseudomonadota; Gammaproteobacteria; Enterobacterales; Enterobacteriaceae
Description: bacterial LSU rRNA
Rfam family: Bacterial large subunit ribosomal RNA
Source: RNAcentral